This 490-nucleotide ribosomal RNA is filed under the name uncultured Abiotrophia sp. RNAcentral's name for it is "partial 16S ribosomal RNA". Lineage: Bacteria; Bacillati; Bacillota; Bacilli; Lactobacillales; Aerococcaceae. The record is from RNAcentral.
CACGUAGUUAGCCGUGGCUUUCUGGUUAGAUACCGUCACACGCAUAACAGUUACUCUAUGCGCUGUUCUUCUCUAACAACAGAGCUUUACGAUCCGAAGACCUUCUUCACUCACGCGGCGUUGCUCCGUCAGACUUGCGUCCAUUGCGGAAGAUUCCCUACUGCUGCCUCCCGUAGGAGUUUGGGCCGUGUCUCAGUCCCAAUGUGGCCGAUCACCCUCUCAGGUCGGCUAUGCAUCAUCGCCUUGGUAGGCCCUUACCCUACCAACUAGCUAAUGCACCGCGGGUCCAUCUCUUAGCGAUAGCUUGCGCCACCUUUCCUCACGGAAUCAUGUGAUCCCAUGUCCUAUGCGGUAUUAGCAGUCGUUUCCGACUGUUAUCCCCCACUAUGAGGUAGGUUACCCACGUGUUACUCACCCGUUCGCCACUCACCUUGACCAAGUGCAAGCACUCGGUCGCGGUUCGUUCGACUUGCAUGUAUUAGGCACGCCG